This 468-nucleotide ribosomal RNA is filed under the name uncultured bacterium. RNAcentral's name for it is "partial 16S ribosomal RNA". It matches the Rfam family "Bacterial small subunit ribosomal RNA", at positions 28 to 507 of the family's 1533-position model. The record is from RNAcentral.
GACGAACGCUGGCGGCGUGCUUAACACAUGCAAGUCGAACGGAAAGGCCCUGCUUUUGUGGGGUGCUCGAGUGGCGAACGGGUGAGUAACACGUGAGUAACCUGCCCUUGACUUUGGGAUAACUUCAGGAAACUGGGGCUAAUACCGGAUAGGAUCUCCUGCUGCAUGGUGGGGGUUGGAAAGUUUCGGCGGUUGGGGAUGGACUCGCGGCUUAUCAGCUUGUUGGUGGGGUAGUGGCUUACCAAGGCUUUGACGGGUAGCCGGCCUGAGAGGGUGACCGGCCACCUUGGGACUGCGAUACGGACCAGACUCCUACGGGAGGCAGCAGUGGGGAAUAUUGCACAAUGGGCGGAAGCCUGAUGCAGCAACGCCGCGUGCGGGAUGACGGCCUUCGGGUUGUAAACCGCUUUCGCCUGUGACGAAGCGUGAGUGACGGUAAUGGGUAAAGAAGCACCGGCUAACUACGUG